RNAcentral lists this transfer RNA (73 nucleotides) under Methylovorus sp. MM2. Its description in RNAcentral is "Methylovorus sp. MM1 tRNA". It matches the Rfam family "tRNA". From Rfam's summary of the family: Transfer RNA (tRNA) molecules are approximately 80 nucleotides in length. Lineage: Bacteria; Pseudomonadati; Pseudomonadota; Betaproteobacteria; Nitrosomonadales; Methylophilaceae. The record is from Rfam by way of RNAcentral.
UCCCUAGUAGCUCAGAUGGUAGAGCGUCCGACUGUUAAUCGGAAGGUCGUUGGUUCGAGUCCAACCUUCGGAG